This is a non-coding RNA of Arachis ipaensis, 2617 nucleotides long. NCBI's taxonomy places the organism in Eukaryota, Viridiplantae, Streptophyta, Magnoliopsida, Fabales, Fabaceae. The record is from RefSeq and is a predicted model, not a curated record.
AAGUUCAUAGUCAAGAAUCGUUAAAUAAUUAUUUAAUUAAAAAUGUUAAAUUAUCUAACAACGUCACAUAAAAUACAUAAAGACAACUUCACAUAAAGACAAUUCUAUAUAAGUUUCCACUAUAUACAAAUACAAAUUGGAGCAUUAGGAGAGAAUACGACUCUGGAGAGACCGACAGAGACCAAACCCUCACCUCUAUCACGCACACCUCAUAUCUUCGCUUCCAAUGCUCGUUGCUCUUUGCUCUUGGCUCCUUUCCGUUGCAUCUCCCUCUAUAUCACAGGGAGGAAAUGAGAAUGAGCGACUAUACAAUGGUGGUGGACAAAAAGACUGCAGAGGAAGAAGAUUUGGUGAGGCGUAGCUAGCAUCAAAAAGACAAAACUAAAUGGAGAUGAAGUUCUUGCUGAAGCUGAGGAGGAUGAGACAGAAGAUAUGUGUGAAGAGAUCCCUAAGCUGAAUAAGAAAAUAGGGCCUGAUAAGAUGGAGCCAAGGCAUAUGCAGGCUAAGACUUCCUCAACUGGGGUUUUGACAGAAGGUGAAGUGCCUGGAAGAUCUCGGCAGCAAGCUCUAUCAUAUAGGGAUAGCUUGAUGCGUGAUGAUACUGGUAUGAUUCUCUUCCCAAAUGAAAUCGUAUAAAUGGUCAUAGAGGAAUAUGAUAUGGAGGAACUUUCCGGAAGAGGUAAUACAGAUCUAGCUCCCUUCAAUCCUAAACCUGUGGUUGAUGUUUCAUUAGAGGAAUAUGACAUGUGGUGUAAGCCAUGGAAAGGCUCCUUGAUUGUUAAAUUCUUGGGAAAAAAUAUCGGUUAUCGUGCUAUUGAAUCUUGGAUAAGAAGAGUUUGGACACGAAAAGGGGAUGUUAAUGUUAUGGAUCCCACAUGAGACUUUUUUUUGGUCCGUUUCUCGGAUGAAAGGGACUACCGCCAUGCUCUUUUUGAGGGUCCCUGGCAGGUGGCGAAUCACUACUUUCUAGUGCAGAGAUGGAGGCCGUUUUUUCUCCCUUCUAAUCAACCGAUACAGAAGCUCGCGGUAUGAAUUCGGAUUCCAGGCCUUCCGGUCGAAUUAUACACGGAACAAUUCCUCUGGAGAGUGGGUGGAAAGUUAGGUACAAUGUUAAAGAUUUAUCACACUACUUCCAUACACUCAAGGAAAAAAUUUGCUCGCAUUUGUGUUGAGAUUGAUUUGAGCAAGCAAUUGGUGCCAGCCAUUCAAGUAUUAGGCAGAGAGUUCAAGAUUGAAUAUGAGGGUCUCCACAUGAUUUGCUUUGGUUGUGGCAAAUACGGUCAUAGGAUGGAUCAAUGUUCUGAAGGGCAGAAAAAUGAGGCAACACUGACGACGGAUUCAACGCCGUUGGGAGCUCCGAUGUUGGAUGGGAUGGAAUUAGAAGGUGCGAAAAAGGGGAGACUAGCGGUCACAAUUCAAGUUUGAACAAAUCUCAAGCAGAUUCCACGAAACCAAAUCUCGUGAAUGAGGGUAACCCAAAAGGGGUGGUCAAUCAUGAAGAUCCCAGUUACUUCAAAUCAUGGACGUUAGCUAAAAAGAUGCAAAAAUGCAAUGGGCAGCCUAAACAAGGUUUCGAUACUGUGUCUAGUAAAAGCCAAACUAAGAAAUCAGAUUCUAGGUUUGAAGUCUUGGCCCAGAAACAAUCAGAAACAAAUGGCCCACUAGCUCAUGAUGGAAUGUCGAAAAGCUCAUUAGGUAAUGUUAACAAGCCUUCUAUUGCAAAACAGCACUAUCAUGCGAGUUCUUCAAAUAAAGUGGCUCAAAAAGAUCCUCAGAGAAACAAAAUCGUAGAAUCUUCGAAAAACAAAACAAAUAAGGUUAGAAUUCCUAAUAAUCAAGUUUUUCAACAUGAGAAAAGGAAGGAUAAAAUAGAUGAUAUGAACCUCAAUUUGGUGAGGGAGAAAAAGUAUGAUUAUUGGCUCUCCUGGGAGCUUAUUAAGCAAGCUAGAUACAUGCCAGGAGGUGAUCCUUUGUGCUUGGGAGAAGGUAGCGUUCAGACCCAUUACCCAUCCAAAGAAGUUAUGUAAGCGGUGAAUUUGCUUCAAAACAGGGCUCAAGGCAGUAUGCAAGAAUCAAAACCUCCUAAUCCGGGUGGUACUUGGUGUCUCUGGAACUCUUCUCAUUGGGAUAUCUCAGUGGUGAUAUCUCACAAGAAAUUUAUUCAUCUUCAAAUUGCUUAUCGGUAGGAACCAUUUUAGUAUCUUACUCUGGUUUAUGGAUCUCCCCAUCUUAGCCUCCGUUUUGAAGUAUGGAGUGGGUUGAAGGAUUUAGCAAGGCAAACCUCUGGGGAAUGGUGCGUGGGGGCGAUUUCAACUGUGUUCUCUCGGUGGCAGAUACUGGUGGAACAUCUGGCCUAUCUCAAGACUCAUAGCAUUUUUCUGGGUGUCUUCUAGAUUGUGGUCUUCAAGAUAUUGGGUUUAAUAGUCAACCGUUCACUUGGCAACGUUGUGAAAUUCGUAGACGGCUGGAUAGGUAGGUUGUAAAUAAUGCCUAGUCCCAAAGGUUUAGUCAAGCUAUGGUCAAGCAUCUCCUAAAACUAAAGUAUGAUCAUAUCCCAAUUCUUUUGAAUCUUGAGGUGACUUCUGCUUCUAAUAUUUCUCGACCUUUCCGGUUUCUA